UACAGAGGGGGCUAGCGUUGUUCGGAAUCACUGGGUGUAAAGGGUGCGUAGGCUGUCCGUUAAGUCUGAUGUGAAAGCCCUGGGCUCAACUCAGGAAUUGCAUUGGAAACUGGCGGACUCAGAGUACCGGAGAGGGAAGCGGAAUUCCUGGUGUAGCGGUGAAAUGCGCAGAUAUCAGGAGGAACACCGGUGGCGAAGGCGGAUCUCUGGGCCUUACCUGACGCUCAGGCGCGAAAGCUAGGGGAGCGAACUGG
RNAcentral lists this ribosomal RNA (254 nucleotides) under uncultured bacterium. RNAcentral describes it as "partial 16S ribosomal RNA". It matches the Rfam family "Bacterial small subunit ribosomal RNA", at positions 524 to 776 of the family's 1533-position model. The record is from RNAcentral.